AAAAUGAUUUAUUUUUGUUUAUUCGUCCGUCUUCACCUCUAACACUCUCUCGCUCCUAGUCAAGUCACUCGUAGCAGCAGCAGCAGCAGCAACGGCGGGGACUUCCCUCCCACAUCCAGAGUCUUUGUCUUAAAAGCGAAAAAGCCGAACACUCUUUUGGAAACAUCAUUCGGAGGUCUAAGAAUAGUUGAAGCUGUUGCAAGAUACAUUGUGUGGCGCUCGAUUCAUAUGCAACCUUUUUGAGUACGUGAUGAUAUCUUCGUAUAUCGAU
This is a non-coding RNA of Camellia sinensis, 271 nucleotides long. NCBI's taxonomy places the organism in Eukaryota, Viridiplantae, Streptophyta, Magnoliopsida, Ericales, Theaceae. The record is from RefSeq and is a predicted model, not a curated record.